RNAcentral lists this ribosomal RNA (576 nucleotides) under uncultured bacterium. RNAcentral's name for it is "bacterial SSU rRNA". It matches the Rfam family "Bacterial small subunit ribosomal RNA", at positions 338 to 916 of the family's 1533-position model. The record is from RNAcentral.
CCUACGGGAGGCAGCAGUGAGGAAUAUUGGACAAUGGAGGCAACUCUGAUCCAGCCAUGCCGCGUGAAGGAUGACUGCCCUAUGGGUUGUAAACUUCUUUUAUAUGGGAAGAACUGCAGAUACGUGUAUUUGUUUGACGGUACCAUACGAAUAAGGACCGGCUAACUCCGUGCCAGCAGCCGCGGUAAUACGGAGGGUCCAAGCGUUAUCCGGAAUCAUUGGGUUUAAAGGGUUCGUAGGCGGGCUAAUCAGUCAGAGGUGAAAUCCAGCAGCUUAACUGUUGAACUGCCUUUGAUACUGUUAGUCUUGAGUCAUAUGGAAGUAGAUAGAAUAUGUAGUGUAGCGGUGAAAUGCAUAGAUAUUACAUAGAAUACCGAUUGCGAAGGCAGUCUACUACGUAUUGACUGACGCUGAUGAACGAAAGCGUGGGGAGCGAACGGGAUUAGAUACCCCGGUAGUCCACGCCGUAAACGAUGGACACUAGUUGUUGGGUUUCGGCUCAGUGACUAAGCGAAAGUGAUAAGUGUCCCACCUGGGGAGUACGGUCGCAAGAUUGAAACUCAAAGGAAUUGACGG